This 2687-nucleotide unclassified non-coding RNA is filed under the name Polistes fuscatus (common paper wasp). RNAcentral describes it as "zinc finger protein 287-like, transcript variant X2". The record is from RNAcentral. Lineage: Eukaryota; Metazoa; Arthropoda; Insecta; Hymenoptera; Vespidae.
UAUAGUAAACGAUUAAUAAAAAAAAUACAUUUGAUUUUAUAAUUUAUUUUUAUUAAUAGUGAAAAUUUAAUACUCAUGUUAUAUUAGUAACAUUGUGUUGUAUUUUAAGUAAAUAUAAAUUAUAGGUUAUGGAGACUUUUUAUUUAACUCUGGUAUUAUAAUUUGUUUCUGGAAUUCCAGGGACGAUAUCCUAUAUUGUAAUAUGACGUUCGUUUGUAAAGUACGUGGUUGUUUAUCAAAUCAAAAUACGAAGAUUGAUGGUCGUGAAAUAACAUUAUUUGCUUUUCCUGAAGAUGACACGAGACGUCAGGAAUGGAUUAAAAAUUGUAAAUUAGUUCUUGAUUCCAGUGAUGAAAGUGACUCUUUAUACGUUUGUGAAUUACAUUUUGAAAAAUGUUAUUUUACUGAAUCAAAUGAAUUAAAAACAAAUGCAGUACCAACUCUUUUUCAUAAUAGCGAAGAUUUGCAAAGAAAACGAAAGGCUGAAAAUAAUAUAGAAAUGGAAUCUUUAAUGGUUCAACCACCAUCAAAGCAAAAACAUUUAGAUGAAGAUUCGCAUAGCUUGGUAACACCACCACAAAGCCCAUUUACACAAUUGGGAGAUAAUAUUGAGGAAUCGGGUUUAGAAAAUAAGACAAAUGUGCUUAAGGAACCAGUAAAUAAAGUUGACAUAACUACAUCAGACAAUGGGCAAAAAGUAUAUCGUUUAACGAUACAAAUAGAAAAAAUACAUACGGAGCCAGAUUCAGACAAUAAGGAUCCAGUAAUCAUACCUAGUCGAGAAUUAGAAAAUUCUCCAAUUUCCAAUAACAGUAUGUUAAUAUUUAAGAAUGAACAAGAAAUGGAUGAUGAAUUGCAAACAGAGAAAAUGGUAAAUAAUAGUAAAGUGAAAAAACCGCAAUGCAUCAAAGGAGCGUGCAAAUUAAAAAAGAUCAUGUAUGGGACUAAACCAGCAUUUCAAUGCGAUGAGUGUAAUAAACAUUAUGUCAUGAAGAAAAGUAAUGCACAGAUAGAGAAAACCAAUGUUUGUUCUGUAUGUCAGAUGUCUUUUACUUCUCCGCAAUCACUUUAUCUCCAUGUUAAAAAACAUUUUGUUUGUGAUAUGUGUCUGACUGAAUGCAGUUCACGAAUAUCGUUUGAUAAACAUGCUAAGUCACAUGUAAGCACUGAUCCUUUAUUUCCUUAUAAAUGUCACAGAUGUUUCGAAAUAUUUGAUAGCAAAGACGAAAUAAGGAAUCAUUACGUUCUUAUGCAUCCUUCGAUAAAACUCGAAGGUAUUGGUAAAGCAAAAGUCUCACCUGUAACAGUGCAAAUACCUCAACAACAAGAAUAUCUAUGUCCUACCUGUAACAUUACUUUUAGAAAUGAGCAGGCAUAUAGAAAUCAUAUCAGUUGUCAUACACAAAAGGAAGGAAUACGUUGCAACAUUGCAGAGCCAAGUAGUAUAAUCUCUGUACCAACACCGAUAACUGGUGGUCAGAUAGGAAUUUUGCGAGCUGUUACAUUCAGUUGUAGAGUGUGUUCGAAAGAAUUUGAUAAUGUUGCUGAAGUCGAUCAACAUACGAGAACGCAUUUGGAAAAUGCGGAAGAAUACAAGUGCAAUAUCUAAAUAUUUUUGUCAGGUGUUGAGAAAAGAAAAAAAGUAAGAGUGCUUAGAUGAUAUCUUAGCAAAGAACGAACAUUCGAGUGAACAACAAUAAUGUUUCAAACAGCGGUUACCUUUGUGGUCAUCUCACUCCUUGACUUGGCUUCCUCUACGAAUAUACUAAGAAGAAUAAUAAUACUGAUUUUACCAAAAGGAAGACGUCUUCGAGUAACAGAGCGGAGAAACCAGAGCAAAGGAGAAAAAAGAAGGCCGACGAAAAAGAUCACAAGGGGAUAUACGAUGUAUGAAAUUUCGAAAGAUAAACUAGUAUGAGAAGAAAAUUCAUACAAAUCGGAAUUAAAAAAGAAAAGUAAAAAUUACAAGAGAGAACAACAACGUGAACAACGAGACUUGCUCAACAAUAAAAACCGCGAAGGUUUCGGGUACGAAUUUAUGAAAUGGAAUAGAUCAAAUGGUAAACCAGAAUAGCCAAGUUACACAAUUGACUAUCGUAAGGACAACAAGAAGUUUUGAUUAAAAUAUAAAAUACAAAAUUAUGAUUAUAGAAAUUGUACGGUAAGUUUAAUGAACAAAAUAUUGGAUUAAUUUGAAUCGUUUGUUAAUUGAAGAUUAAUACGAGAUAAAAGAUGUGAUUUAUCAUUACGAAGUUUUUCUAUGCUUUAUCGUUAAAAUGGCAUAUUUGUUUAGACGCAAGAAAUAAAAUAGAUCAUAUAGAUGUUCGAUAUAGAAUAUUUGUCUUUAUAUUAUAUUUACCAUACAUGCGCGAGUUUGAAUUUUUAUCCAAAGAAAAAAGAUUCCAAAGGAAACGUCAAGAACUAACCAAAUCGGGAAGAUCUUAUUUGGUAUUACGAAAGUCUUUAACAGGUUUGAUUUUCCACGGAUGUAGGAAAAUUCUGUUGUAUUAUUAAAUAGCAUGUGACGUGAUCCGGACUGUGGAUAAAAAUAAAAAAAGGACGUCGUGACGAAUAUCACAAAAGACACUAGGAUAUCAAUGGUAGCGAGUUGGUUUUUGUAUGGUUGUUCAGUCGUACGUCGUUUGACAGAAGGGUGUUUUUCUUUUGGUUGCAGAGAAAAAGAGCAA